GAUGAACGCUGGCGGCGUGCCUAAUACAUGCAAGUCGAGCGAACAGACGAGGAGCUUGCUCCUCUGACGUUAGCGGCGGACGGGUGAGUAACACGUGGAUAACCUACCUAUAAGACUGGGAUAACUUCGGGAAACCGGAGCUAAUACCGGAUAAUAUAUUGAACCGCAUGGUUCAAUAGUGAAAGACGGUUUUGCUGUCACUUAUAGAUGGAUCCGCGCCGCAUUAGCUAGUUGGUAAGGUAACGGCUUACCAAGGCAACGAUGCGUAGCCGACCUGAGAGGGUGAUCGGCCACACUGGAACUGAGACACGGUCCAGACUCCUACGGGAGGCAGCAGUAGGGAAUCUUGCGCGAUGGGCGAAAGCCUGACGGAGCAACGCCGCGUGAGUGAUGAAGGUCUUCGGAUCGUAAAACUCUGUUAUUAGGGAAGAACAAAUGUGUAAGUAACUAUGCACGUCGUGACGGUACCUAAUCAGAAAGCCACGGCUAACUACGUG
RNAcentral lists this ribosomal RNA (497 nucleotides) under uncultured bacterium. RNAcentral describes it as "partial 16S ribosomal RNA". It matches the Rfam family "Bacterial small subunit ribosomal RNA", at positions 28 to 507 of the family's 1533-position model. The record is from RNAcentral.